RNAcentral lists this transfer RNA (72 nucleotides) under Capitella teleta. RNAcentral describes it as "tRNA-Ala for anticodon UGC". It matches the Rfam family "tRNA". From Rfam's summary of the family: Transfer RNA (tRNA) molecules are approximately 80 nucleotides in length. Lineage: Eukaryota; Metazoa; Annelida; Polychaeta; Capitellidae. The record is from Rfam by way of RNAcentral.
GGGGAUGUAGCUCAGUGGUAGAGCGCUCGCUUUGCAUGUGAGAGGCCCCGGGUUCAAACGCCGGCAUCUCCA